RNAcentral lists this ribosomal RNA (439 nucleotides) under uncultured bacterium. RNAcentral describes it as "partial 16S ribosomal RNA". It matches the Rfam family "Bacterial small subunit ribosomal RNA", at positions 339 to 795 of the family's 1533-position model. The record is from RNAcentral.
CUACGGGGUGCAGCAGUGAGGAAUAUUGCACAAUGGGGGGAACCCUGAUACAGCAACGCCGCGUGGAGGAUGACGCAUUUCGGUGUGUAAACUCCUUUUAUAUGUCAAGAAAAUGACGGUAGCAUAUGAAUAAGCACCGGCUAACUCCGUGCCAGCAGCCGCGGUAAUACGGAGGAUGCAAGCGUUACUCGGAAUCACUGGGCGUAAAGGACGCGUAGGCGGGUUGGAAAGUCAGGUGUGAAAUCCUACAGCUUAACUGUAGAACUGCACUUGAAACUUCUAAUCUAGAGUAUGGGAGGGGGAGAUGGAAUUAGCGGUGUAGGGGUAAAAUCCGUAGAUAUCACUAGGAAUACCUAAAGCGAAGGCGAUCUCCUGGAACAUUACUGACGCUAAGGCGUGAAAGCGUGGGGAGCAAACAGGAUUAGAUACCCUCGUAGUC